RNAcentral lists this ribosomal RNA (484 nucleotides) under uncultured bacterium. RNAcentral describes it as "partial 16S ribosomal RNA". It matches the Rfam family "Bacterial small subunit ribosomal RNA", at positions 30 to 507 of the family's 1533-position model. The record is from RNAcentral.
AUUGAACGCUGGCGGCAGGCCUAACACAUGCAAGUCGAGCGGAUGACGGGAGCUUGCUCCUUGAUUCAGCGGCGGACGGGUGAGUAAUGCCUAGGAAUCUGCCUGGUAGUGGGGGACAACGUUUCGAAAGGAACGCUAAUACCGCAUACGUCCUACGGGAGAAAGCAGGGGACCUUCGGGCCUUGCGCUAUCAGAUGAGCCUAGGUCGGAUUAGCUUGUUGGUGAGGUAAUGGCUCACCAAGGCGACGAUCCGUAACUGGUCUGAGAGGAUGAUCAGUCACACUGGAACUGAGACACGGUCCAGACUCCUACGGGAGGCAGCAGUGGGGAAUAUUGGACAAUGGGCGAAAGCCUGAUCCAGCCAUGCCGCGUGUGUGAAGAAGGUCUUCGGAUUGUAAAGCACUUUAAGUUGGGAGGAAGGGUUGUAGAUUAAUACUCUACAAUUUUGACGUUACCGACAGAAUAAGCACCGGCUAACUCUGUG